This is a long non-coding RNA of Prionailurus viverrinus (fishing cat), 337 nucleotides long. RefSeq lists it as uncharacterized. The transcript has 4 exons. The record is from RefSeq and is a predicted model, not a curated record. NCBI's taxonomy places the organism in Eukaryota, Metazoa, Chordata, Mammalia, Carnivora, Felidae.
CAGGGAGGCGCGCGAGGGGUGCCUGCGGCGGCCGCGUGCUCCCGCGAGGGGGCGUGUCCUUCCGCGGCCAGCUGGGUCCCCGAGGGUCCAGAUCCACGCGCGGGCUGGAGAGCGCCCACGGCUGUGAAGAGGGAUGGAGAUGGAGCCUCAUGACAAAAAUGAAAGUGAACGUGAUGUGGGAAAUAUAAAGAAGAGAUCCCCAAGAUAAGGAUUCUGGAGCAGAAAGAGCACUUCCAAUGAACAACUUAUUCAUCCAAAAGCCAAGACUACUUACUGGAAAUUUCAGAGAAUGAAUGAGGGAGAGUCAGAGUGAGGGAGACACAGAAUCCGAAACAGG